RNAcentral lists this long non-coding RNA (438 nucleotides) under Olea europaea subsp. europaea. Lineage: Eukaryota; Viridiplantae; Streptophyta; Magnoliopsida; Lamiales; Oleaceae. The record is from RNAcentral.
CAUCACUGCAAUUUUAAUUACAAUAACUCGAAGCUACUCAAUUACAUAUAUUUCAUUCUACAUCUUCCGAAACUCGUUUCCCUUUGCGUAUGGUGAUGUUGAAUGAAAUCUCUAAGUUUCUCUCCUCGGUUAUUUUUGCACACGUCGUCAACAUACGGGACAAAUCGUCGAUCAGUUCACUUCCGUUGGUAGUGCCACUUGAUUCACCUUGCAAUGAAUACUCUUUAUACGGCGUAAUGUUAGAAAACUUGAAAAGCCGAUAGUUGCAGGUACAACUAUGGAACAACAACCCUUUAUUAUCCGAAUUCUUUUCUACCUCUAACCACCUAACGAAGCCCUCGCCACAGUUUGGACAUUUAAUUUUUUUUUGGACAUUCCGACAACAUGUGUCCCACAAUCCUACAAGAAUGACAUAAUCCCCUGUUUUGGCCACCCAUA